RNAcentral lists this microRNA precursor (205 nucleotides) under Oryza brachyantha (malo sina). Its description in RNAcentral is "MIR812 microRNA precursor family". It matches the Rfam family "MIR812 microRNA precursor family". The record is from Rfam by way of RNAcentral. Lineage: Eukaryota; Viridiplantae; Streptophyta; Magnoliopsida; Poales; Poaceae.
CAUGGGUUUAGCUCUUGUAUUUACGGUUGUUCGACGUUCGACGGUCCAUCUUAUUUUAAACAGAUUAUAUUAAUAUUUUAUUGUCAUUUGAUGAUAAAAGAUGAAUAUUGCUUCAUGUGUGACCAUUGAUUAAUUUUUCUAUAAAUCUUUUAAGUAAGAUGAACAUUCGAACGAUGGACACCGGAAUCUACAAAAUGCAAUUAAU